GCUUCUCACUCCUCCUCUGCUCUUCAUCUCUCUCCUCUGCCUCGCCUCUCUCUUCAAAUCCUAUGUUUCUCCUCAUAACCACCAAAACCUCCCAUUCAAACGUAGUGAUUCCUCUGGAACUCCGAUCUUGGUUGAGCGUGCGAUUAUUCAGAUGGGAUGUGGAUCUAUGAUCCCGGUGUGAGAUCUGCGCCGUAUGAUCAUAAGGAGAUUUUCAAGGGAUGGAAUUGCAAUGCCAGUAAUAAAUCCAAUGGUUUGGAUAUUAUCAAGUGGCGUUGGAAGCCCAAAGGCUGUGGUCUUCCUCGGUUUGAUCCGGUUCGGUUUUUGGAGCGGUUCAGGAACACCAACGAUGGUGGUCUGCUGAUGCUAAUGGUGGCACAUUAGAAUCUCUUGGAUAUAAAGACGGUUUUCGAGUUGAUGUCGAUAUCCCAGAUGGUACAUGGGCUGAGGCUCCAAGCUUCCAUGAUAUUCUUAUCUUUAACACAGGACAGUGGUGUGGACAAUCGUACUGGCUAUGAGUUCGAAAACAGGAAUGCAGACACAUCUCACCUACGGAUUGCCAAUAAUGUUAUUACAUGGUGUCUCCAUGUGACAAAAAUGGUAGCCUCAUCCCAUACAAAUU
Molecule: long non-coding RNA, 619 nt
Organism: Vitis riparia (riverbank grape)
Lineage: Eukaryota; Viridiplantae; Streptophyta; Magnoliopsida; Vitales; Vitaceae
Exons: 3
Source: RefSeq, a predicted model, not a curated record